RNAcentral lists this small nucleolar RNA (92 nucleotides) under Neogobius melanostomus (round goby). Its description in RNAcentral is "Small nucleolar SNORD12/SNORD106 (ENSNMLG00000020357.1)". It matches the Rfam family "Small nucleolar SNORD12/SNORD106". From Rfam's summary of the family: This family belong to the C/D class of snoRNA which contain the C (UGAUGA) and D (CUGA) box motifs. This family includes the human ortholog of mouse snoRNA HBII-99 and human snoRNA U106. In humans both HB11-99 and U106 snoRNAs share the same host gene. Lineage: Eukaryota; Metazoa; Chordata; Actinopteri; Gobiiformes; Gobiidae. The record is from Rfam by way of RNAcentral.
AAUAUGGUUGAUGAUGCAUUAUCUUUUUUCCCCAUCUUAUCGACCAUGGUGAAACGAUGCUAAUCUAAGCCAAAUCUGUCUGAAACCACACA